Molecule: long non-coding RNA, 2380 nt
Organism: Homo sapiens (human)
Lineage: Eukaryota; Metazoa; Chordata; Mammalia; Primates; Hominidae
Exons: 4
Source: RefSeq, a predicted model, not a curated record
AAAAAAAAAGUAUAUGUAUUUUGCUGUUGUUGGGUGAAGUGUUCUAUAAAUUAGAUCCAGUUUAUUGAAGGUGUUCUACAGUUCUCCUAGAUUUUUGCCGAUUACUUGUUCUCUCACUAUGAAAGGUAUUGUGUGUGUUAUAUGUGUCUAACAAUUCAUUGUCUAGUUAGAGUUGCUAUUAUACCACUUCAAGUGGAUGGAGAGCCUCACUGCCAUCCAUUAAUGUGCAUUAAUCAUUUUGAGAGUGAAAAGAUUUUUUAAAAUGUUUUUACUCUUUUAGGUAUGGCCAAGUGAGAUGGGGCUAGUGAAAUGGGUGGGAGAAUUGGAAGCUGAUAGUGUGUGAGCUAGACACCCAUGAAUGCUUUUCCACUGGGCAGUUAGAGGGAUGAUAGGUAAUAAUAUAAGGCAGCUCCAUCACACAAGCUGGUGACUCCUGUGCGACAGACCAAGAGCUGCAUUUGGAGAUUCAUUUCCGAUUGUUGCGUUUCCUCUUAGAGCAUUGCUUGGUCAUCGUGUUCUGAGUGGUCCAUUGGCCUCCAUGUCCCUUUUGGGGUGGAUAUUUGCUCAGUGACUUUUGAGCAGCUGGAUCUCCUGCUUCGGCAGGUCUGGGCAGCGUCUUCCUGAACAGCCUGAAGCAGAAGGUGGUGACCCUGGCAAGCAGCGCAGACGUGCUGAGCACCGUGCAGUCGGCCUCCCAGGCCAUGCUGCAGAGCGGCUGGUCCAUGCUGUUGCCCACCGCUGAGAAGCAGGCCCGGGCACUCUGCUCUCCUGUCCUGUGGAGACUUUCUAUUUCAGUUUCAGGCAAUGAAGUGAACAUAAGUCCAGGUCAUCGAUUGGUGAUUGAUCUUCUGGUGGGCAGCUUGAUGGCUGAUGGAGGGUUGGAGUCAGCCUUACACGCAGCCAUUACUGCAGAGAUCCAGGAUACAAAAAAAGAAGCACGGAAGGAAAAAGAAAUUUAUGAACAGGAGGCAAAUGCCUCAACAUUUCAUAGAAGGAGGACUCCAUUGGAUAAAGACCUUAUUAAUACGGGGAUCUGUGAGUCUUCUGGCAAACAGUGUUUGCCUCUGGUUCAGCUCAUACAACAGCUUCUUAGGUAAAUCAUAUUAGCUGUAUUGUAUUGUGUUUUAUUUAUUUACUUUUUUUUUUUUGAGACAGAGUUUCGCUCUUGUUGCCCAGGCCGGAGUGCAGUGGUGCGAUCUUGACUCACUGCAACCUCCGCCUCCCAGGUUCAAGUAAUUCCUCUGCCUCAGCCUCUCGAGCAGCUGGGAUUACAGGCAUGCGCCACCAUGCCCCACUAAUUUUGUAGUUUUAUUAGAGACAGGGUUUCUUCAUGUUGGUCAGGCCGGUCUUGAACUCCCGACCUCAGGUGGUCCAUCCACUUUGGCCUCCCAAAAUGUUGGGAUUACAGGCAUUAGCCACCACGCCUGGCCUAUUUAUUUACUUAUUAAUGGUGUUUUUUGUUUUUUGUUUUUUUUUUGAGAUGGAGUCUUGCUCUAUCGUCCAGGCUGGAGUGCAGUGUCACGAUCUUGGCUCACUGCAACCCCCGCCUCCUGGGUUCAAGCUAUUCUCCUGCCUCAGCCUCCCGAGUAGCUGGGACUACAGGCGUCUGCAACCACACCUGGCUGAUUUGUGUAUUUUUAGUAGAGAUGGGGUUUUACCAUAUUGGUCAGGCUGGUCUCAAAUUCCUGACGUCAGGUGACCCACCUGCCUUGGCCUCUCAAAAUGUUGGGAUUACAGGUGUUAGCCACUGUUCCCGGCCUGUAUUGUAUUUUAAUAGGUGAUUAUUGGUUUUCAUAUUAAGAUAGUGAAAUCUAGCGCAAGGGUCUCAAAAAUUUGUUUGAUGAUUGAAGGAAUAUUCUGAAAAUUACCUAGUAUAGAUGUUAGGAUAAAGAGCAGACCCUUCUCAAUAUAGGUGAGAGGAGAAGUUGGAGGGUGUGAUGAUACUCAGAAGUUUUUCACAGAAGAGAAAUUGGGGCGUGCAGUAAACAUGUAAAAAGAUUCUUACUAAUAAGCAGGUAGGUGCGAAUGAAAAUCAUCAUGGAAGGUUAUUUUUAAAACUGGUUCUAUCAUUGCCUCACUUUACAUAUUACAGAGUUGUACCUACUACUUUGUAAGAUAACUUUUCUUUUCAAAACUGAAGUCAAUGUGAUAGAAUGGUGAGCAUUAUUUUGGAAGGCCAGACUAGGAGGAGGUGGGAGGAGGAAGUCAGACUCAGCCUGUGAACAGACGCUAACCUUGGCAGAAGCCAAAACAGUCAGACAGUGUUGUGUAAAAAUGAUCAUUCAAGAAGAGCGAAACAGCAAGGUGAUUUGUGAAAGAGAUUUAUUAGAAAAUGAAACACAUUUAUACCUCUGUUCAAUAAAAAUCUGCUUUUCGUCAA